ACUGCAGGGUGGGAGAUGCAACAAUGGCCUUGAGAACAGCAGGAAGUGUGUUGGUGGUCUUUCUCUGGUCUGUAGCAGUGAUUCUGGGUCAGAAUAGCAGGAUUGUGACCUACACCAAGAAACGUUUCUGUACCUUGAAGGGGUCAACAGUGGAUCUAUCCUGCUCUUACACAUAUCCCAGAGGUCAUACAGUCACAGCAACCACAUGGUAUAAAUGGAAGAGUUUGACGUGGACUCACAUCCCAGAUAAAUAUGAGGAUCGUAUAGAGUACCGUGGGAAUAAGGAGAAUGACUGCACCCUGAGAAUCACAGACCUGAGAGAGGAGGAUUCAGCAUCAUAUUACUUCUCAUUUUCAACAGGCUCAUGGACAUCUGGCUCAGUUGUCACUCUCUCUGUCACAGAUCUAAAGGUGACUGGGGGAACAAGAGGGGAGUAUUGGACGACACUGACCUGUAGCACCACCUGUACUCUGCCUGACAACCCCACCUACAUCUGGUACAAGAACGGACACAAAGUAAAGGAGGACACUUCCAGCCUGGACUCAGACUCCUUUAGUGAUGCAGACAGUUACUCCUGUGCUGUA
Oncorhynchus masou masou (cherry salmon) is the source of this 584-nucleotide long non-coding RNA. RefSeq lists it as uncharacterized. Lineage: Eukaryota; Metazoa; Chordata; Actinopteri; Salmoniformes; Salmonidae. The record is from RefSeq and is a predicted model, not a curated record. The transcript has 3 exons.